CCUACGGGAGGCAGCAGUGGGGAAUAUUGCACAAUGGGGGAAACCCUGAUGCAGCGACGCCGCGUGAGUGAAGAAGUAUUUCGGUACGUAAAGCUCUAUCAGCAGGGAAGAAAAUGACGGUACCUGACUAAGAAGCCCCGGCUAACUACGUGCCAGCAGCCGCGGUAAUACGGAGGGGGCAAGCGUUAUCCGGAUUUACUGGGUGUAAAGGGAGCGUAGACGGCAGCGCAAGUCUGGAGUGAAAUCCCAUGGCUUAACCAUGGAACUGCUUUGGAAACUGUGCAGCUAGAGUGCAGGAGAGGUAAGCAGAAUUCCUAGUGUAGCGGUGAAAUGCGUAGAUAUUAGGAGGAACACCAGUGGCGAAGGCGGCUUACUGGACUGUAACUGACGUUGAGGCUCGAAAGCGUGGGGAGCAAACAGGAUUAGAUACCCCAGUAGUC
Molecule: ribosomal RNA, 440 nt
Filed under: uncultured bacterium
Lineage: Bacteria
Description: partial 16S ribosomal RNA
Rfam family: Bacterial small subunit ribosomal RNA
Source: RNAcentral